AGUUCAUACUCUGAGGCCAGCUGACAUUAAAGUAGUCACUGCAUUAGGAAGUUUGCAAACACCACUGGGAUCCAGCAUUUAUCAUGAAGAUUUACUCCAAAGAACAGGAAAGAGCCUCCCUGAAGUAAGCGUGGAAAUUUUGGCAG
Non-coding RNA from Phasianus colchicus (ring-necked pheasant), 146 nucleotides. The record is from RefSeq and is a predicted model, not a curated record. Lineage: Eukaryota; Metazoa; Chordata; Aves; Galliformes; Phasianidae.